RNAcentral lists this ribosomal RNA (253 nucleotides) under uncultured bacterium. RNAcentral's name for it is "partial 16S ribosomal RNA". It matches the Rfam family "Bacterial small subunit ribosomal RNA", at positions 524 to 776 of the family's 1533-position model. The record is from RNAcentral.
UACAGAGGUCCCAAGCGUUGUUCGGAUUCACUGGGCGUAAAGGGUGCGUAGGUGGUUGAGUAAGUCUGAUGUGAAAUCUCCGAGCUCAACUCGGAAACUGCAUCGGAUACUAUUCAACUCGAGGGUUGGAGGGGGGACUGGAAUACUUGGUGUAGCAGUGAAAUGCGUAGAUAUCAAGUGGAACACCAGUGGCGAAGGCGAGUCCCUGGACAACUCCUGACACUGAGGCACGAAAGCUAGGGGAGCAAACGGG